RNAcentral lists this ribosomal RNA (2921 nucleotides) under Staphylococcus aureus. Its description in RNAcentral is "bacterial LSU rRNA". It matches the Rfam family "Bacterial large subunit ribosomal RNA". Lineage: Bacteria; Bacillati; Bacillota; Bacilli; Caryophanales; Staphylococcaceae. The record is from RNAcentral.
UUAAGUUAUUAAGGGCGCACGGUGGAUGCCUUGGCACUAGAAGCCGAUGAAGGACGUUACUAACGACGAUAUGCUUUGGGGAGCUGUAAGUAAGCUUUGAUCCAGAGAUUUCCGAAUGGGGAAACCCAGCAUGAGUUAUGUCAUGUUAUCGAUAUGUGAAUACAUAGCAUAUCAGAAGGCACACCCGGAGAACUGAAACAUCUUAGUACCCGGAGGAAGAGAAAGAAAAUUCGAUUCCCUUAGUAGCGGCGAGCGAAACGGGAAGAGCCCAAACCAACAAGCUUGCUUGUUGGGGUUGUAGGACACUCUAUACGGAGUUACAAAGGACGACAUUAGACGAAUCAUCUGGAAAGAUGAAUCAAAGAAGGUAAUAAUCCUGUAGUCGAAAAUGUUGUCUCUCUUGAGUGGAUCCUGAGUACGACGGAGCACGUGAAAUUCCGUCGGAAUCUGGGAGGACCAUCUCCUAAGGCUAAAUACUCUCUAGUGACCGAUAGUGAACCAGUACCGUGAGGGAAAGGUGAAAAGCACCCCGGAAGGGGAGUGAAAUAGAACCUGAAACCGUGUGCUUACAAGUAGUCAGAGCCCGUUAAUGGGUGAUGGCGUGCCUUUUGUAGAAUGAACCGGCGAGUUACGAUUUGAUGCAAGGUUAAGCAGUAAAUGUGGAGCCGUAGCGAAAGCGAGUCUGAAUAGGGCGUUUAGUAUUUGGUCGUAGACCCGAAACCAGGUGAUCUACCCUUGGUCAGGUUGAAGUUCAGGUAACACUGAAUGGAGGACCGAACCGACUUACGUUGAAAAGUGAGCGGAUGAACUGAGGGUAGCGGAGAAAUUCCAAUCGAACCUGGAGAUAGCUGGUUCUCUCCGAAAUAGCUUUAGGGCUAGCCUCAAGUGAUGAUUAUUGGAGGUAGAGCACUGUUUGGACGAGGGGCCCCUCUCGGGUUACCGAAUUCAGACAAACUCCGAAUGCCAAUUAAUUUAACUUGGGAGUCAGAACAUGGGUGAUAAGGUCCGUGUUCGAAAGGGAAACAGCCCAGACCACCAGCUAAGGUCCCAAAAUAUAUGUUAAGUGGAAAAGGAUGUGGCGUUGCCCAGACAACUAGGAUGUUGGCUUAGAAGCAGCCAUCAUUUAAAGAGUGCGUAAUAGCUCACUAGUCGAGUGACACUGCGCCGAAAAUGUACCGGGGCUAAACAUGUUACCGAAGCUGUGGAUUGUCCUUUGGACAAUGGUAGGAGAGCGUUCUAAGGGCGUUGAAGCAUGAUCGUAAGGACAUGUGGAGCGCUUAGAAGUGAGAAUGCCGGUGUGAGUAGCGAAAGACGGGUGAGAAUCCCGUCCACCGAUUGACUAAGGUUUCCAGAGGAAGGCUCGUCCGCUCUGGGUUAGUCGGGUCCUAAGCUGAGGCCGACAGGCGUAGGCGAUGGAUAACAGGUUGAUAUUCCUGUACCACCUAUAAUCGUUUUAAUCGAUGGGGGGACGCAGUAGGAUAGGCGAAGCGUGCGAUUGGAUUGCACGUCUAAGCAGUAAGGCUGGGUAUUAGGCAAAUCCGGUACUCGUUAAGGCUGAGCUGUGAUGGGGAGAAGACAUUGUGUCUUCGAGUCGUUGAUUUCACACUGCCGAGAAAAGCCUCUAGAUAGAAAAUAGGUGCCCGUACCGCAAACCGACACAGGUAGUCAAGAUGAGAAUUCUAAGGUGAGCGAGCGAACUCUCGUUAAGGAACUCGGCAAAAUGACCCCGUAACUUCGGGAGAAGGGGUGCUCUUUAGGGUUAACGCCCAGAAGAGCCGCAGUGAAUAGGCCCAAGCGACUGUUUAUCAAAAACACAGGUCUCUGCUAAACCGUAAGGUGAUGUAUAGGGGCUGACGCCUGCCCGGUGCUGGAAGGUUAAGAGGAGUGGUUAGCUUCUGCGAAGCUACGAAUCGAAGCCCCAGUAAACGGCGGCCGUAACUAUAACGGUCCUAAGGUAGCGAAAUUCCUUGUCGGGUAAGUUCCGACCCGCACGAAAGGCGUAACGAUUUGGGCACUGUCUCAACGAGAGACUCGGUGAAAUCAUAGUACCUGUGAAGAUGCAGGUUACCCGCGACAGGACGGAAAGACCCCGUGGAGCUUUACUGUAGCCUGAUAUUGAAAUUCGGCACAGCUUGUACAGGAUAGGUAGGAGCCUUUGAAACGUGAGCGCUAGCUUACGUGGAGGCGCUGGUGGGAUACUACCCUAGCUGUGUUGGCUUUCUAACCCGCACCACUUAUCGUGGUGGGAGACAGUGUCAGGCGGGCAGUUUGACUGGGGCGGUCGCCUCCUAAAAGGUAACGGAGGCGCUCAAAGGUUCCCUCAGAAUGGUUGGAAAUCAUUCAUAGAGUGUAAAGGCAUAAGGGAGCUUGACUGCGAGACCUACAAGUCGAGCAGGGUCGAAAGACGGACUUAGUGAUCCGGUGGUUCCGCAUGGAAGGGCCAUCGCUCAACGGAUAAAAGCUACCCCGGGGAUAACAGGCUUAUCUCCCCCAAGAGUUCACAUCGACGGGGAGGUUUGGCACCUCGAUGUCGGCUCAUCGCAUCCUGGGGCUGUAGUCGGUCCCAAGGGUUGGGCUGUUCGCCCAUUAAAGCGGUACGCGAGCUGGGUUCAGAACGUCGUGAGACAGUUCGGUCCCUAUCCGUCGUGGGCGUAGGAAAUUUGAGAGGAGCUGUCCUUAGUACGAGAGGACCGGGAUGGACAUACCUCUGGUGUACCAGUUGUCGUGCCAACGGCAUAGCUGGGUAGCUAUGUGUGGACGGGAUAAGUGCUGAAAGCAUCUAAGCAUGAAGCCCCCCUCAAGAUGAGAUUUCCCAACUUCGGUUAUAAGAUCCCUCAAAGAUGAUGAGGUUAAUAGGUUCGAGGUGGAAGCAUGGUGACAUGUGGAGCUGACGAAUACUAAUCGAUCGAAGACUUAAUCAA